CAGAGGGUGUUUUAAUUUAAAAUAUCAGUUUUGGGGGCUGGUGAUGUAGUAUUGUUGCUGUUUCUCUGA
This 69-nucleotide transfer RNA is filed under the name Stylotermes sp. Chi-131. RNAcentral's name for it is "tRNA-Pro". Lineage: Eukaryota; Metazoa; Arthropoda; Insecta; Blattodea; Stylotermitidae. The record is from RNAcentral.